This 479-nucleotide ribosomal RNA is filed under the name uncultured bacterium. Its description in RNAcentral is "partial 16S ribosomal RNA". It matches the Rfam family "Bacterial small subunit ribosomal RNA", at positions 28 to 507 of the family's 1533-position model. The record is from RNAcentral.
GAUGAACGCUAGCGGGGGGCCUAACACAUGCAAGCCGAGCGGUAUUUGUUCUUCGGAACAGAGAGAGCGGCGCACGGGUGCGGAACACGUGUGCAACCUGCCUUUAUCUGGGGGAUAGCCUUUCGAAAGGAAGAUUAAUACCCCAUAAUAUAUUGAGUGGCAUCACUUGAUAUUGAAAACUCCGGUGGAUAGAGAUGGGCACGCGCAAGAUUAGAUAGUUGGUGAGGUAACGGCUCACCAAGUCAAUGAUCUUUAGGGGGCCUGAGAGGGUGAUCCCCCACACUGGUACUGAGACACGGACCAGACUCCUACGGGAGGCAGCAGUGAGGAAUAUUGGACAAUGGGUUAGCGCCUGAUCCAGCCAUCCCGCGUGAAGGACGACGGCCCUAUGGGUUGUAAACUUCUUUUGUAUAGGGAUAAACCUACUCUCGUGAGAGUAGCUGAAGGUACUAUACGAAUAAGCACCGGCUAACUCCGUG